RNAcentral lists this ribosomal RNA (443 nucleotides) under uncultured bacterium. RNAcentral's name for it is "partial 16S ribosomal RNA". It matches the Rfam family "Bacterial small subunit ribosomal RNA", at positions 338 to 795 of the family's 1533-position model. The record is from RNAcentral.
CCUACGGGGGGCAGCAGUGGGGAAUAUUGGACAAUGGGGGGAACCCUGAUCCAGCGACGCCGCGUGAGUGAAGCAGUAUUUCGGUAUGUUAAGCUCUAUCAGCCGGGAAGAAAGAAAUGACGGUACCUGACUAAGAAGACACGGCUAACUACGUGCCAGCAGCCGCGGUAAUACGUAGGGGGCAAGCGUUAUCCGGAUUUACUGGGUGUAAAGGGUGCGUAGACGGCGAUGCAAGUCUGAAGUGAAAGGCGGGGGCCCAACCCCCGGACUGCUUUGGAAACUGUAUGGCUGGAGUGCAGGGGAAGUAAGUGGAAUUCCUAGUGUAGCGGUGAAAUGCGUAGAUAUUAGGAGGAACACCAGUGGCGAAGGCGGCUUACUGGACUGUAACUAACGUUGAGGCUCGAAAGCGUGGGGAGCAAACAGGAUUAGAUACCCGUGUAGUC